GUCUAUGGCCAUGCUAUCCUGAACAAGCCUGAUCCCGUCUGAUCUCGGAAGCUAAGCAGGGUCAGACCUGGACAGUACUUGGAUGGAGAUCACCUAGGAAGACCAGGUGCUGUAGGCA
This is a non-coding RNA of Pteropus alecto (black flying fox), 118 nucleotides long. NCBI's taxonomy places the organism in Eukaryota, Metazoa, Chordata, Mammalia, Chiroptera, Pteropodidae. The record is from Rfam.